Molecule: long non-coding RNA, 125 nt
Organism: Dermochelys coriacea (leatherback sea turtle)
Lineage: Eukaryota; Metazoa; Chordata; Testudines; Dermochelyidae
Exons: 3
Source: RefSeq, a predicted model, not a curated record
GCAUUGCUGCUGUGGAAUAGAGAAGCUGCCGCCGAAUUGCCACUGCCGCAGAAACUCUGCCGCCCCUUUCUGACUGCCACCCCAAGCACCUGCUUGGAACGCUGGUGCCUGGAGCUGGCCCUGGA